Long non-coding RNA from Meriones unguiculatus (Mongolian gerbil), 1300 nucleotides. RefSeq lists it as uncharacterized. Lineage: Eukaryota; Metazoa; Chordata; Mammalia; Rodentia; Muridae. The transcript is spliced from 3 exons. The record is from RefSeq and is a predicted model, not a curated record.
CUUUAGGUGGAUUCCCUAUUGACCUGGGUGAAGAGGAUAUCUGACAGAGACUACAGGGGAGGAGGGAAAGACAACUAAAGACCUUCCUGUCUCCCAAAUGCUGCCUCCAGAUGCUGUCACUGAAUAUGGGCUUAGCCAGAUCACCAAAUGCACUCGGCCUUUCUUUAUUCCUAUCGCCCACAACAUUUUCAGGUGGAAUUAUAAAAUGUUCUUUAGCUGAGGUGGAGCUAUAAGGGAUGAUUCAAGCCACACUCUCACCCCACCCCAGUUCUGUUCCUUGCUUUUUAUCUGGCCUGCUUGCUCACCCAGGCAGGCACCCUCAUGUACCUCUCUGCUUUUUCCCUCUUCGGUUCUUUCUCUCUGAUAAAGUGUUGUCAUAUAUAUUUGUGGCACAGCUUUUUCUGUCACAAAGGCAUGAAAUCCUGUCCUUCUUGUGACAAUACAUAGCCCAAGAGACAAAUCAGUUUGUUGGAAAUUGCUCAUUUGAAUAUCAGUGAUAACUCAUUUGACACUAAAAUGAAUUUUACAGCUUUCUAAGAUCGUAUAUUCAUGCAGUUAUUUUAUCCCCUUUUUAAAAUCACAUGAAAGGAUUUAGAACCUGCAAAGAUUGUUUAUUUUAAAGAAAACCUGUUUUGGGGGGCUCCUUUUCUAUCUCACCCCCCCCUUGUAAGAGCAAAUCUCAGCCUCCCCAGACAGACAGGAAGACUUUGCCAGAGUAUGAAUCUCAUCAACACAGACCCUGGAAACAUCGCCGGGAAUCAUUCAUAUUGAUAUCAACUCAAAAUAAUUGGAAUUACAAGAGUGAACUCUAAAAAAAAAAAAAAAUGGAGUAUCCUUUCAAGUGGCUUUGUAGGAUGAGCCCGGGAGUUGCUGUGAGGCCCUCGAGUCCUGCAUUUGCUGCUGACUAGUCUGUGACCCUGAGCAAGCCAAAAUUGCCCAAGAACACACCUCCUAGUUACUGGUUUGUUGCAAGAAUUACAGAGACUUGAAGACAGACUUAAUACUCACAUGUGUGCACACAUCUGUAUUUACUUAUGAGUAUGUUUUUGAGUGUGACAAAUUUAAAACGUGACUCUAGAUUCUUCUGUUACAUUCCUAUUGACAGGGAAGAGCAUCUUGUUCCAUUGAAUGUGUGUGGGUUUGGUUGGAUCACCCCCUCUAGCAUAGUGGACACAAUGCUGUUUAACUUCUGCACCCUUCAUUGAGACCUUCUCAAUCUGGAGUCCUAAGCCACUGGGCAAAAGUUUGAUUUUCUAGAGGCUACAAUGGUGUGAGGAAGACCCUGUCACAGAAAGACAGA